RNAcentral lists this ribosomal RNA (426 nucleotides) under uncultured bacterium. RNAcentral describes it as "bacterial SSU rRNA". It matches the Rfam family "Bacterial small subunit ribosomal RNA", at positions 354 to 796 of the family's 1533-position model. The record is from RNAcentral.
GUGAGGAAUAUUGCGCAAUGGGCGAAAGCCUGACGCAGCAACGCCGCGUGGGCGAUGAAGGCCUUCGGGUUGUAAAGCCCUUUUCUGAGGGACGAGGAAGGACGGUACCUCAGGAAUAAGCCUCGGCUAACUACGUGCCAGCAGCCGCGGUAAAACGUAGGAGGCAAGCGUUAUUCGGAUUUACUGGGCGUAAAGCGCGUGCAGGCGGUUUCGCAAGUCGGACGUUAAAUCUCCUGGCUUAACUAGGAGGGGUCGUUCGAAACUGCGGGACUUGAGGUCGGGAGAGGGAAGCGGAAUUCCCGGUGUAGUGGUGGAAUGCGUAGAUAUCGGGAGGAACACCUGUGGCGAAAGCGGCUUCCUGGCCCACACCUGACGCUAAGACGCGAAAGCGUGGGGAGCGAACGGGAUUAGAAACCCCAGUAGUCC